This 921-nucleotide ribosomal RNA is filed under the name uncultured archaeon. Its description in RNAcentral is "bacterial SSU rRNA". It matches the Rfam family "Archaeal small subunit ribosomal RNA", at positions 1 to 923 of the family's 1478-position model. The record is from RNAcentral.
UUUCCGGUUGAUCCUGCCGGAGGUCAUUGCUAUCGGAGUCCGAUUUAGCCAUGCUAGUCGCGCGGGCUCAGACCCGCGGCCAACAGCUCAGUACCACGUGGUCGAACUACCCUCUGGAGACGGACACCCUCGGGAAACUGAGGCCAACCCGUCAUACGACACCCACGCUUGAACGCCGGGUGUCCGAAACGCUCCGGCGCCACAGGAUGUGACUGCGGCCGAUUAGGUCGACGGUGGGGUAACGGCCCACCGUGCCAGUAAUCGGUCCGGGUUGUGAGAGCAAGAACCCGGAGACGGAAUCUGAGACAAGAUUCCGGGCCCUACGGGGCGCAGCAGGCGCGAAACCUUGACACUGCACGACAGUGCGAUUAGGGGACUCCGAAUGCGAGGGCAUACCGUCCUCGCUUUCCUACACGGUACAAACGUGUCGAAACAAGGGCUGGGCAAGACCGGUGCCAGCCGCCGCGGUAAUACCGGCAGCCCGAGUGAUGACCGAUCUUAUUGGGCCUAAAGCGUCCGUAGCCUGCCGUACGGGUCCGUCGGGAAAUCCGCCCGCUCAACGGGCGGACGUCCGGCGGAAACCAUACGGCUUGGGACCAGAGGACCCGAGGGGUACGUCGGGGGUAGGAGUGAAAUCCCGAGAUCCUCGACGGACCGCCGGUGGCGAAAGCGCCUCGGGAAGAUGGAUCCGACGGUCAGGGACGAAAGCUUGGGUCUCGAACCGGAUUAGAUACCCGGGUAGUCCAAGCUGUAAACGAUGCUCGCUAGGUGUGGCGUAGGCUACGAGCCUGCGCUGUGCCAAAGGGAAGCCACGAAGCGAGCCGCCUGGGAAGUACGUCUGCAAGGAUGAAACUUAAAGGAAUUGGCGGGGGAGCACUACAACCGGAGGAGCCUGCGGUUUAAUUGGAUUCAACGCCGGAA